This 465-nucleotide ribosomal RNA is filed under the name Vreelandella stevensii. RNAcentral's name for it is "partial 16S ribosomal RNA". It matches the Rfam family "Bacterial small subunit ribosomal RNA", at positions 338 to 795 of the family's 1533-position model. The record is from RNAcentral. Lineage: Bacteria; Pseudomonadati; Pseudomonadota; Gammaproteobacteria; Oceanospirillales; Halomonadaceae.
CCUACGGGCGGCUGCAGUGGGGAAUAUUGGACAAUGGGGGGAACCCUGAUCCAGCCAUGCCGCGUGUGUGAAGAAGGCCCUCGGGUUGUAAAGCACUUUCAGUGAGGAAGAACGCCUGGUGGUUAAUACCCAUCAGGAAAGACAUCACUCACAGAAGAAGCACCGGCUAACUCCGUGCCAGCAGCCGCGGUAAUACGGAGGGUGCGAGCGUUAAUCGGAAUUACUGGGCGUAAAGCGCGCGUAGGUGGCUUGAUAAGCCGGUUGUGAAAGCCCCGGGCUCAACCUGGGAACGGCAUCCGGAACUGUCAAGCUAGAGUGCAGGAGAGGAAGGUAGAAUUCCCGGUGUAGCGGUGAAAUGCGUAGAGAUCGGGAGGAAUACCAGUGGCGAAGGCGGCCUUCUGGACUGACACUGACACUGCGGUGCGAAAGCGUGGGUAGCAAACAGGAUUAGAUACCCUAGUAGUC